Molecule: ribosomal RNA, 275 nt
Filed under: uncultured Larkinella sp.
Lineage: Bacteria; Pseudomonadati; Bacteroidota; Cytophagia; Cytophagales; Spirosomataceae
Description: partial 16S ribosomal RNA
Rfam family: Bacterial small subunit ribosomal RNA
Source: RNAcentral
CCUACGGGUGGCUGCAGUAGGGAAUAUUGGGCAAUGGUCGGAAGACUGACCCAGCCAUGCCGCGUGCAGGAUGAAGGCGCUCAGCGUUGUAAACUGCUUUUGAUCGGGAAGAACGGCCGCCCUGCGGGGUGGUGUGACGGUACCGACAGAAUAAGCACCGGCUAACUCCGUGCCAGCAGCCGCGGUAAUACGGAGGGUGCAAGCGUUGUCCGGAUUUAUUGGGUUUAAAGGGUGCGUAGGUGGCUUUUUAAGUCUGACCUGAAAGUGGGCCGCUU